Molecule: long non-coding RNA, 5975 nt
Organism: Marmota monax (woodchuck)
Lineage: Eukaryota; Metazoa; Chordata; Mammalia; Rodentia; Sciuridae
Exons: 3
Source: RefSeq, a predicted model, not a curated record
ACAACCCGAGCCAUGUGUGGUGGCGAACACCCCUAAUCCCAUCAAUACAGGAGGCAAAGGCAGGAGGAUCCCAAGUUCCAGGUCAGCCUGGGCAACUUAGCAAGACCCUGUCUCAUAAGAUGAAAAAGAGUUGGUAUGUCCGUCAGUCUAGAGUGCCCUUGGGUUCAGUCCCCAGUACCCAAACAAACAGACCGAUAAAAAAAGAAACUCAAAACCAAAAACCAAUUUGAAUAUUUCAGCAAACUAUAUGUUAGUUAUUACUGAUACAGACCUAAAUACUGGGAAAUUAUGCCAACUUUAAUAAUGUUAAAAAUUUUAAAUGCUAAAUUAUGUACAUAUUUAAGUACAAGGAAUAUCAUGUUCUGCUAAAGACUCAUGGUUUGCAUAAAGAAAAUUUGUGAUAGUCAAUGAGGAAAAAAGAAAAAAUUAAGAGUAUCAUAAUUCAAUUUCACAUACUAAGCAUUUAAAAUAAUAAAAACUGAAGAAAAAUUUCAUCGAAGUUGUUGAUAAAGUGAUGAAGGAAUUUGGGAAGAAUUGCCAACUCUUUAGCACUGCCUGCUCGCAGCAGCAGGAGCCGGCUUGUCAGGGGAGCAGUCAGCAGACCUUCCCAGCACAGGGCUGGCGCAGGAGCAGCACAGCCAUGCAGCCCUGACGCUGCUCCCUGAAGUCAGGUGUCUGCUGAGGUGCCCCCAGUCCAAGGCGGUAAAAUUUCCUCAUUAUCUGUCAAGCGGCAUCUCUUUCAUAUAAGACGAUUGCAAUUUAUUUGAAAUGCAAAAUUCACGACUUCUAAGUGAGUGUUAAUGGUUUUGCUGGCUUUGCGAUGUGGACAUCGAUCAUUAUCUUCGGUGGUGGAGAAAACUGGUCCUAAUGAGAAUUCCUCCCGUGAAGCACCUUGGAGUGCCCAGUGUCUGCACAGCCCAUGGACAGUGCGUCAUUUCUGUCAUCUACAAAACCUUUCAAUGUUUUAAGGUAGAUGGUCUAAAAUGACUGCAUUUGACGAUUCUGUCCGAUGAAUGAUGAUGCAUGUAAAUCCAUCACCUUGUAUCUUUUCCCAAUCAGCUCUCUAUGUGUAUAAUGUUCAGUAAACAGCAGAGAGAGUUAGAUACCGUGUUGAAGAGCUGGAACCCAAACAGAGAAACCUGAAGCAUAUGCGGAUCCUGAGGCUCCCCUUAGAGCCGGAGCUGUGGAGCAUUUUGGCACACGCAGAGACCCGUCGUCCCUGGAGAGCAAAGGCCUGGCUUUAGCCAGCUCUGCCUUCCACAGAGGGAGAGGCUGGCCUCGGCAGGAGGAGGAAGGCAUGCUUCAGUUUCAGAGCGAGGGGAGAGCACUCUGCCCCUGUGUCCUUCCUAUAGGGAGGCAGAGUCCUGGUGUGACCAGAAGGCUGGCGCUUGACCUCUGAGCCCUGGGUGAGCUAAGAGACAUGGGGCAGCGGCUGAACUACGAGGGAAAGCAGAAGGUGGCCUUCAGGGAAGGACCGAGACGUGGGAUCUGAAACAAGGACGUGAGGCCGCCACUCGAAGAGGAAAGACUGACAUGAAAUGCCCUUCUGCUCCGGGUUUUAAAAAGGCAACUACAAAAGCAUAGCCCAGUGCUGAGGCUGCCAGCGCUCCGAGCUCCGAAACUCAGUCCCAGGGCGUUUGGGGAGCCCAGAGGGUAAAGGAGAUUCAGCCAGCGGGUGAACUUUGACAGCACCGUCACUGGUCUCUGUGACCUGGCGUGGUGUUCUUGGCCUUCUGCACGAGCAUCUUCACGGGAGACGUGCCUGAUCCACCUGCUGCCCACCGUGGAGCUGGCCCCUGAGGAGGAAGAAGGCAGCCGGCCUGAGGCGCUCACGGUCUGAGAUGCAGGUGACUGAGCUCAGUGGUGGUCAGCAGUUUGGGAAUCAGAGACCAGAGCAAAGGCUGACCCCGAGAGGGGCCAUGUGGACUCGGAUGUGGAAUGCGCACAAUGGCUCGGAGUCGGAGGCUGUGGAGCUCGGCUGGCGAUGAUACUGAGGGGUGUAGACACCUUAGGAGUGGAGGUGGGCCUCGCUGGGGAAGUGGGUCACAGGGGCAGGCCCUAAAACGGGUAGUUUGUCCUGGGCCUUUCUCUCUCUGGCUGUUGGCUCCCUGCCGCCAUGAGGCAAAGAGAUGCUCCACCACACCGUCUCCCCCGACGCUCACCACAGGCCGGGAAUCCAUGGAGCCAGGAGACCGUGACUGCGACUCCGAAGCCCUAAGCCAGAAUGAGUCUUCUGUCCUGAGUUGACUUUCUCUGGCGUUUUGUCACAGUGAUGAGAGCCGGCUGACCCCCCUCCACCUCAGACUGGAAUUCCCUGAGCAGUGGCACCCAGAAGGGAGCAGACAGAAUCGGUCACAGGGUGGUGAGAGCAGCUUUUCCAAAGUGACGUGUGCCACAAGGCUGGGGCAGCAGAAGACCACCCGCGCGGGGGUAGUGGGAAACCCGCGCAGGGGUAGUGGGAAACCUGCGUGGGGGUAGUGGGAAGCCGGCCCAGGCGUGGGUUUGUCUUGUGUUGGGGCUGACCUGGAGGCACACCGGCGAGGCCCCCUGCACGCCUUGCCUGUCCUGCCCUGGAGGAUGGAAGGGGAGCCAGGAGCGGCUCUGGUCGCCAGAUGCUGUCCCUAGGGUCCACCUCUUCCCUUGGUUCCUGUGUGUUGGCAGGGUCACUGUUGGAGUCCUGCUGGUAAGUUCUGGGUGCAGGAGGCUGGGCUGCUCUGACUGUGCACCUCCAUGACCUCUCGGGCUGGCUCUGAGGCUGCAUCUGUGACUGAGCCCGCUCUCUGUCCCCAGGAGCUCCACAUCACUCAUGGUGAAGCGUGACAUGAAACCCCCAGGUAUGUGGGGAUCUCUCUCUGGUAUGGUUAUCAGAAGAAGAAGAAUCUGGAUUGUUUGGAAAUCUCAAGCAGAUGAGGAAUGCCGUUGUGCAGGAGUGCCAGGCCAGACCGCCCUCCAUCACCCCGUGUGCUUGCUAAAAGUGAACCUAAUUUGCAUUUUCCUGGUCUGCAUUCGGUCAUUCACUCUGUUUAUUCAGGUAAAACUUGGUCCCUGCACAGAACUAGAAGGCUUGACACUGCUCUCUGAUUGUCAUAGAGGGGAGUGAGCAUUGAGAGAUGUUACCUCCUGAAAAUAAGAAGGCCUCAGAGUGACCACAGCAGGACUUCCCUGGGUUGUUUAGAUACAUUGUUGCACUAAGUUGUAAAGUCAUAACUCAACCUGAGGAAGAAAAGGAAGGAAGUAGGUGCGUUUUAGGAUCAUUCUAAAAGAACCAGCCAGGGUUCUGCCUGGCCUUUUCUGCGUCAGUAAGGCCAGCCCUGCUGCCUCGAAUGGGCCAGCGAUCGGUGCCUAGGUCCAUGGGUGGUCUGUUUUGGGGAAGCCAUCCAAUCAAAUCAGGUCUUUCUGGGGAAGACAGAUGCCAAGUCCACUGGAGACAGAGACCUGACCCCUCUUGGGCUGCUGGAGUGGUGCUCUCCCUUCCGUCCAUCCUUGCCUUGGGGACCCAGAGGUAGAAAAGGGUGCGCCCCAAUCUGCAGGUCCCGCCUGCAGAUGACUGCGAUGAGCGUGCCCGGAGUGCAGUCUGUGACUGUCCUGUCCUUGCCACCUGAAGUCCCAACAUGUGUGAAGCCAUCAAGAUGUAGGUGGAAACGUGUUGGCUCACCAGCCAGGGGCAGGACAGGGGCAAAGGAAGUGUCACACCUAGGGUCUCACCGCACGUGGAGAGGUGCUCCGACUCCUGGCUUGCAGAGGACCCAAGAGCUGAGCCACGAGCACAGGUGUGUUCAGCCUGCAGAGCUGGAGCCUGAGAACUGGAAGCCCUUGUCCCUGCCUGUCCCCUUCCACAGGGUGCGGGCAAGCACAUGCCAGAGGAAAAAGCCAGUCUGAAGUGCACCCUUGCUGCCUAGAAGGAGCGGGGUCCCAGUGGGGUGGUGCAAAUAGCUGAGGUACAAACAACGAGGAUCCACAGUCUGGGCUGAUCCUCUGCUGGACAUGGGACCCUAGUCACCAAACGAUUAAGCUAAACCUGCAGAAGGCAGGCUCGGGUCAGCCAGCCGCAGCCCAGACUGCUUGGGCACACCUCCGGUGGCUCGCCUGGGGGAGGAAGAGCCUCCGGUGGUUGGCGUCUUCCCCUGGUGCUGGCGGUGAAGUGCUGGGGAGUCAAGAGUCUGAUGGGAAUGAUGACCAGAGGUUCUGGGUGUGGGGCUGCUCCUGAGGGUUGUCUGUGCCCUGCUUCUGGCUGGCUCAAGGUUGUGCUCAGGAGCUGCAGUUCACAGAACCCAGAUGCACAGCCCCCAGCCCCACGGCACUCUGCCUUGGAUGAGAGCAAAGCCCAGAAGAUGCACACGACGCUCUCCUGGACGUUCAGGGCUGACAUCCCGCUGAGGCUCAGCCCCAAGCACACAGUGGAACCUGCGCUAGCCUCCCAGGUCAGAGGGAGGCCAGGGAAGGAGCCUGGACCCAGCUCACAGCCCUGGAAUUUACAUUUAUCUCUGGAAUUUAUAUGUAACUCCUGGAAUCUGUAUCUACCCCUGGGGAGCCCAGACUCCUUUUUGGAGAGCUGAUGAGAAGACUGACAGGAAACUGAGUUCGGUUCAGCUCGGCUUCCAUGCACAGAUGCCUCUUCGUCACCGAGGCCAAGGUAUGUCUCUGGGUUUUGGCUUUGGCCCUGAGUGCUGAGCAGCACUUUAAAGCUGGGGUGGGGGGAAGAGCCCAGACACGUGAUCUCCAAGGGACUGAUUUCAUGGUUAAUUACAAUAUCUGGGCCGGCAAAUUCCUUUGAAGAUGACUGCUCCUGAGGUAACGGACGCAGGGGUGGGACCCAGGCCAGCAGUCCUGCCAGAAUUCAAAGCCCGCCGGAUUGGAAGUCUGUUUCCUGGUGACACACGCCCCUCCACUCUGCACAAAGCCAAUGGACACGCAGCAUCUAGUGGCCACUGGGCAGAAAGUGGUCCUGUGUGCUCCCUUGUCCAGGCCUGGCCUCUCCGAAGGCCACCUUCCCAGGCCUGUCCACAGACUCCCACGGCACCCAUCACACCCCUUCCCAUCACGGGGACAGGGGCUGCUCAUGGUCUGGUCAGGCAGCACGGUGUCCUCAAGCUCCCAUUUAACAAACGAUGAGGGUCACAGGGAAUCAGACCUCUGGUAAGAGGAAGCGGAAUAAGCCUCCGACUCCCCAGCUCAGGGGCCUCUGCUCAGUGGGUUCCCAUACUCACUGAAGCCCCGGGACGGUUUCUUCCCCUAAGACGGAGUGGAAGACUGGCCUGAGUCCAGGAAACGCGGAGGUGGUGGGCGGUGGGCUCCUGCGCAUCCUUGGAGGGUUCUCUGUGGCCCUGGCUCCUUCACUGUCCCAGGCUGAUGGCUUCUGAUGGCGGGAGGUCACGUUCCAGGCUUGGCAUCUCACAGCUGGACCUGGCCUGAGGUCCAGGCGCUGCGGGCCCGGGGCGGAGCUAGUGACCACAGGUUCCUAGGCCCUUUCUGAUGACUCUGGUUUGAGUGGAAUUUGCCGGCUUCCUGUUUCUUGGUGGGGAUGUGGCCCACAACCUUUCUCAGAAGUUUCUACUGCUGAGAAGUAGGGUCACCACCCCUCUGUGCCCUUUCCCAGCUGUGAGUGUAAAACCGUGUGGAGGCAUAAAGAUAAGGUCUGACAUUGAAAAAUGACUUGAUUACAGUGUCGCUGCAGCUCGGAACCUGAACACCCCCCACGGCCUUCGUGUGGAGGACUUGUCCCCAGCCUGCGGUGCUCCUGGGGAGGCAGCCUGGUGCCAGGAAGUGAGGACAGGGCAAGUGUGCUGCCAGGGGAUAUUGGGACCCUGGUCUCUUCCUCCAUCUCCUUCUGCCUCCUGACUGCUUCGAGGUGAGCCGUCUCGUCUCCUCUGCCGCAUGAUGCAUGGUGCCACCACAGUCCCAAAAGCAUCAGAGCCGACUCACCAUGGUCUGAAACCAUCGAAAUGUUGAUACAAAAUAAACCUUUUCUCCUUGUA